CUAAGAAUAUUCCGCAAUGGACGAAAGUCUGACGGAGCGACGCCGCGUGGAUGACGAAGGCCGAAAGGUUGUAAAAUCCUUUUGUCGAGGAAGAAUAAGCUGGGGAGGGAAUGCCCUGGUGAUGACAUGAAUCGAUGAAUAAGCCCCGGCUAACUACGUGCCAGCAGCCGCGGUAACACGUAGGGGGCGAGCGUUGUUCGGAAUUACUGGGCGUAAAGGGCAUGUAGGCGGUUCGAUAAGCCUGGCGUGAAAUACUGCAGCUUAACUGCGGCACUGCGUUGGGAACUGUUGGACUAGAGUUAUGGAGAGGGAGCUGGAAUUCCAGGUGUAGGGGUGAAAUCUGUAGAUAUCUGGAAGAACACCAAAGGCGAAGGCAAGCUUCUGGCCAAUAACUGACGCUGAGGUGCGAAAGUGUGGGGAUCAAACAG
RNAcentral lists this ribosomal RNA (428 nucleotides) under uncultured bacterium. RNAcentral describes it as "bacterial SSU rRNA". It matches the Rfam family "Bacterial small subunit ribosomal RNA", at positions 355 to 775 of the family's 1533-position model. The record is from RNAcentral.